GUUUGAUCCUGGCUCAGGAUGAACGCUAGCGGCAGGCUUACACAUGCAAGUCGAGGGGUAUAGUUCUUCGGAACUAGAGACCGGCGCACGGGUGCGUAACGCGUAUGCGAUCUACCUUUCACAGAGGGAUAGCCCAGAGAAAUUUGGAUUAAUACCUCAUAGUAUGUAUGAAUGGCAUCAUUUAUACAUUAAAGUCACAACGGUGAAAGAUGAGCAUGCGUCCCAUUAGCUAGAUGGUAAGGUAACGGCUUACCAUGGCAACGAUGGGUAGGGGUCCUGAGAGGGAGAUCCCCCACACUGGUACUGAGACACGGACCAGACUCCUACGGGAGGCAGCAGUGAGGAAUAUUGGACAAUGGGCGCAAGCCUGAUCCAGCCAUGCCGCGUGCAGGAUGACGGUCCUAUGGAUUGUAAACUGCUUUUGUACAGGAAGAAACACUGGUUCGUGAACCAGCUUGACGGUACUGUAAGAAUAAGGAUCGGCUAACUCCGUGCCAGCAGCCGCGGUAACACGGAGGAUCCAAGCGUUAUCCGGAAUCAUUGGGUUUAAAGGGUCCGUAGGCGGUUUAGUAAGUCAGUGGUGAAAGCCCAUCGCUCAACGGUGGAACGGCCAUUGAUACUGCUAAACUUGAAUUAUUAGGAAGUAACUAGAAUAUGUAGUGUAGCGGUGAAAUGCUUAGAGAUUACAUGGAAUACCAAUUGCGAAGGCAGGUUACUACUAAUGGAUUGACGCUGAUGGACGAAAGCGUGGGUAGCGAACAGGAUUAGAUACCCUGGUAGUCCACGCCGUAAACGAUGGAUACUAGCUGUUGGGCGCAAGUUCAGUGGCUAAGCGAAAGUGAUAAGUAUCCCACCUGGGAGUACGUUCGCAAGAAUGAAACUCAAAGGAAUUGACG
This 896-nucleotide ribosomal RNA is filed under the name uncultured bacterium. RNAcentral describes it as "bacterial SSU rRNA". It matches the Rfam family "Bacterial small subunit ribosomal RNA", at positions 11 to 915 of the family's 1533-position model. The record is from RNAcentral.